RNAcentral lists this ribosomal RNA (459 nucleotides) under uncultured bacterium. RNAcentral describes it as "partial 16S ribosomal RNA". It matches the Rfam family "Bacterial small subunit ribosomal RNA", at positions 338 to 795 of the family's 1533-position model. The record is from RNAcentral.
CCUACGGGCGGCAGCAGUGAGGAAUAUUGGUCAAUGGGAGAGAUCCUGAACCAGCCAAGCCGCGUGAGGGAAGACGGCCCUAUGGGUUGUAAACCUCUUUUGUCGGAGAACAAAACCCGGGACGUGUCCCCUUCUGCGUGUAUCCUGAGAACAAGGAUCGGCGAACUCCGUGCCAGCAGCCGCGGUAAUACGGAGGAUGCGAGAGUUAUCCGGAUUUAUUGGGUUUAAAGGGUGCGUAGGCGGGCCGUUAAGUCAGCGGUAAAAUUUCGGGGCGCAACCCCGUCGAGCCGUUGAAACUGGCAGACUUGAGUGGGCGAGAAGUACGCGGAAUGCGCGGUGUAGCGGUGAAAUGCAUAGAUAUCGCGCAGAACUCCGAUUGCGAAGGCAGCGUACCGGCGCCAGACUGACGCUGAGGCACGAAAGCGUGGGGAUCGAACAGGAUUAGAUACCCUUGUAGUC